CGUGUGCGCGCCCCCUCUGGCUUUGCGGGGAGGGCAAAGGGGGCGGGGGGAGGGGGUCGCUUCUCUACCUGCCCGCGGUCACGAAGCAGGAAGCGUGUGCUGAGGUUGUCCCCCAGCCCCCUCCUAUCGCCUUGGCGGGGCCUCGCAGCGUGGCCCCUCGCCCGGUCCGGCCCCCUUGGGCGCUCGUUGCUUCCCGCUCCCGCAGAGACCAGCUCUUGCCAUCUCCCUCAACUCCAGAGCUGCCCUCAGCCCAUGAUUUCACUUCUAGUCGCUGAGCUGGACGUUAGGAAGAAAUUCAGCGGCUCUGGUGAGUCAGGGUCUCUGCUGGCCUCAUCCUCGCACGAACUAGCUGUGAGAGCAUCUGACUCGCGCUCCCUUGUCUUCCGGAAACUAAACCAAACAUCAGAUGACUCUACCGUGCAGAAAGAUGUGUGUUGACAGCUGGUUGCCAAACACAGUACUGGGGACAGCAGAGCCUCCAGCCCUUAUGAGCUUCGUCAUCCUCCUGGAUCUGUGAAACUGGCAUGCAGUCAGGAAUGCUAUUUGCAAAGGUCAUGAAUUCUCUUGGAGAAGUCCCUGAACAACCAACUACCCAGGACAGCUUACACUGAUGAGGAGCCUACGGUACUGCAUCCAAUCUGCUUUGCUCUCUUACCAGAUUAUACCAGAGUCCUAGAGUCUC
Phalacrocorax carbo (great cormorant) is the source of this 682-nucleotide non-coding RNA. The record is from RefSeq and is a predicted model, not a curated record. NCBI's taxonomy places the organism in Eukaryota, Metazoa, Chordata, Aves, Suliformes, Phalacrocoracidae.